RNAcentral lists this long non-coding RNA (1060 nucleotides) under Anser brachyrhynchus (Pink-footed goose). Its description in RNAcentral is "lncRNA (ENSABRG00000017219.1)". Lineage: Eukaryota; Metazoa; Chordata; Aves; Anseriformes; Anatidae. The record is from RNAcentral.
AAAAGCUGCGUUUCCUUCCUCCAGCGCCCAGCGUGCAGUACUGGCCACUAGAGGACAUCCCAGACCUGGGCAACUGCUGGCCCCAUUCACAAAGCCACGCUGACGCCAAGGUCCUAGUCUGCCUCGAUUCAAUAUUAGAGCUGACAGGUUUUUAGAAAAAUAUCCGGUAAUCUACACUCAGACAAAAGGAUGGAAAAUUCUUCAUCUCGGAAACCAGCAUGGUGGUACCUACAGAAGCACAUUAGAUAUGACAAGGAUGCACAACAUGAAGAGACAACUCAUUUUCAGAGACUGCAGCAUGAGGAGCUCCGUUGAGGUUUCUUGGAGCAGCCCUCGUUCUGCAACUGGUGAAGCAAGACAGGGGAAGGGAGGGAGCAGAUUUCCACCUGAAUUUCUUCACGUGCUUGAAGACGAGGAGUUUCUGCUAACUGCUGCCAGGCCAGGAGCUGGGACUGCCCAAGCCACCGACACCCAGUGGUCCCAGACACGCAAACCAGCACCAGAACCCGAGCAAGUCUCCAGCUUCCUAGAGAAACAGCUUGCUCUUGUUACGUGGACACAGGGUGCCAAUACCACGGAGUCCCAAUCUAAACCAGGUCCCCUAGGCAUGGCAGGAAUAAGAAUCAUCAUCUCCAGAUUUCAUGGGUCUGGUUGAUCUGCAAGAAGCAAGACUGGGACUAACAAAUCUGUUGGUACUUUAACAUAUUUGUGCUUUUGUUCUUUCUGAGCUCCUUUCCACCAGCCUUACCUCAGUGUGACAGUCCUAGGGGUUGAGUAAGAGACCUUGGCUUUACCUGCCAUGGUGAGAUUUGAGCUGUCUUGUUAAAAGUUCAGCAUGCAGGGCUGGCUUUACUCUGACAAAGCCAUGCUGCCUCAAGGCAAUUCAAAAGGUACUGCAGAAGCCUGGAGAAAGCACCAUUUCUGCACUGUUUUUUUACAAAAAAAAAAAAAAAAAGUGGUGAGAGAUCUGUGAGCAUGGCUUUAAUGAGCUGCAAACAUGGCACAAUGAUUCAAUAUGAGCCAGAAAUUAGUCAGGCUGAGUAGCAAAAUGACACUUUCU